RNA transcript from Phymastichus coffea, 7283 nucleotides. It is a transcript of the gene named sex determination protein fruitless, with no coding region annotated. The record is from RefSeq and is a predicted model, not a curated record. Lineage: Eukaryota; Metazoa; Arthropoda; Insecta; Hymenoptera; Eulophidae. The transcript is spliced from 6 exons.
GGCAGGGUUAAAGCUGCAGCUGCAACUCCUCCUGGCGAGGCGGCCGAGCGAUUGGGUUACACAGCGCGGCUGCGCGGCGCUGCUCGCCGCCGCCGAUAAAACCCUGCCACGCAUGGCGCAGCGCCUCAUUACGGGGAGGCACCUUGCCGAGAGACACGCGAGAAGCUCCUUGCCACGCGCCGCCGCUCGACGCGCGCCUCACGCGACUGCUCGCACGACUCGCUCCCCGUCGCGCGCAGUACGCCACUUGGCUCGAGUCGCGCCCGCGGGCGAGCAGCGCAGAGCCGAUCAGCCGGAAGAUUGCCGCCGCAACGCUCGCCGAAGACCGUCCGCUCCAAGAUCGCCAGCAGCCGAAGAUCUAGGCCGACGACGCAGCGACGUCUCGAGGGUCGGCGCCAGACAGCGCCGCCCGCAGUCCCUCCAGGUUCAUGAAUCUGAGCAAAACAGGUAACGUCAACAUGCCAACCGAUUGCGCCGCGGCGCGCCCGACGAUCCUCGGCCCCCCGGGCCGUUCCCCGCUGUUGCAUGCGCCUCGGGCAGCGACGAGGGAGGUGGACGGACGAUUACGUCACACUUUGGCCGUCAGUUUGUCCCUGCGUAGCUCAGCGUCGACCGAGCGCAGCCCCGAUUCGCGCCCUUCCACGCUGGCGGCCCGCGAGCCGCGAGGCCGCUGCAGGCUGGUUCCACUGAUUUUGGAGCGCGAGAGGGACGACGGAUGCACGCGCACGCGAGCGCGCUGGCGUUCAAGCCUCCGCCGUUUGGCGCGCGGCCAGGGCGCUUAUCUCUCGGCGCUGGAUUCGCGCGACCGCUGCCGAUGCCGCGGGCCCCCGCCUCCUCGCGCGAGUCGUCGUCUCGACGGGCACCUCGGCGCGCAGGCUUCGCUCGCUCGCCAGCCCGAGCGCGCUCGGGUUUUCGCUUCGAGGAGCAACGGCCAAAAGUCGCCAGUUCAGCGCUGAACGAUGCGGCAGCGCGACUUCCGUCGUCGGAACUUGCGGGCGUACCUUCCCGCGUCACGCUCGUGUGGUAAUCCGUCGUCCCUGUCGACCCGACAAUGCAUGCUAUCCGACGCGCGAGAUCGCGCCGAGAGCAGCGAAGAAACGAGAGCACGAGCGGGAGACGAGAACGACAAAGGAAGAUUGCAACUGAACGGAAGCUGAAGAUUGUUGGUGUUAUUCUGUGCGCGCGCGCGUGUGCCAGCAUAUCGAUCUCGCUUGCACUUGAACAAGGUCGAGCCGCCUCGUGUCUGCUUGACCGCGUGGCAUUGCAACGACUUACUGUCUCCCGAAGAUCUAUCCCAACAUGCCAACGAGGGUCAGGAUUGGAGUUAAACAAGAUGGACCAGCAGUAUAAGCUCCGCUGGCACAAUCAUCCAGCUAAUCUCACCGAUGUACUCAGUUCCCUCCUGGCAAGGGAAGCACUCUGCGAUGUAACCCUGGCUUGUGUUGGGGAGACAUUCAAAGCCCAUCAGACUAUACUCUCAGCCUGCAGCCCGUACUUUGAGAACAUCUUUCUACAGAAUAUUCAUCCUCAUCCGAUAAUCUUUCUAAAAGAUGUCAACGAUACAGAGAUGAAAGCCCUGUUACAUUUUAUGUAUAAGGGUGAAGUCAACGUCAGUCAACAUUUGUUGCCUAUGUUUCUCAAAACUGCCGAGGCACUGCAGAUCAGAGGUCUCACUAACGACAGUGUAAAUAAUGAUGCCGAUGAAAAGAGCCCCAGCCCAGAACCAGAGGCACAGCCUGUUAUCAGGCAUUCUGACUCACCCAGCAUACAAAGUCAUCCUGAGAAGAGGAAACGAAAAAUGUCUGGAAAUUAUGAUAAUACACUCAGUGGCCCACCCAGCGAAAAAUAUCAUUCUGACUCUCAGGCAUCAUCCCAAUGUAGUUACAAAUCAAGUCCUACAGUUCCAAAGUUAAAUUAUGCUCUGGCAGGAAAUCUGGAGGAUGGUCGCCAAUCCAUCUCUCCACAAUCUCAAUCUCAAGCCCCAAUUAAGCAAGAAAUUGACCAUCAUAUGUCUGAUUUCCACGACAACAUUUCAAUGCCUGCACACCCAGUCAGUCUUCGGAGCGAGGAUAGCGGCCCGACGACAGGCGGCUCGCUCAACGAUAGCGUGCCGGGCAUCGAAUCGUCGGAGCAUCACAACCCACCGGAGGUGGUCGACGGACUCGAUGCAUUCAGUGCGAUUCAACAUCUUCGAGUGCCAGGGCCGCACGGACCGAUGAAAAGCUUCUUCAGCCUUCUGCUCGAACGCAUUGGAUUUUAUCAUUUGCUCGCGACGACCUUGUGGAUUAUUCCGAUUAGGCGAUUGGACCCUCGUCACUAAAUCAUUCCCGAUUGUUGUGCGGAAAUCAUAAUUGUCGAACCAAGCGUCUCGAGCAAACGAAUCGGUUGAAAACGAUCAAAUUCGUAUUGUUACACUUGAGCAUGCCCUACAACUAAGAGGAUCGAGGAACGUCGCCUAGAUUGCGAGAGGGAGGAUAUCGAUGAGCUAGCUAUCUUUUUACUUGUGUACCCAAACAAAGCACACAUAUACCGAAAUAAUUUAAAGUAAUAUAUAGUAUAGUAUAUUAUUAACCGUAACCAGAUUUUAUUAAUAUAUUACGCAGAAUCUUAUUCACUGAGGUAUAUAUAAUAAUAUAUAUAUUGGAUAUAAUUUAUUUUAUUUUUUUUGUUUUACCGUUUUAAUGAUUUUAUAUACACUGUUGUUACUGGUUGACGAGAAUUAUAAUGAAAGAUGCAAUUAUAAUAGCACAGCGGUUUCCGUCUGUGACCGCACGGAUUUAUUUAUUUUUACACUUGCAUAUAAUAUAUAAGCAGGGAAAUGUACACGGGGCAAACCAAACACACGCUCACACACAGAGACGCAGAUGCAAGUGAAUUGUAACGCGGCAUACGAGUCGGAGAAUGCACACCGUGCGUAGGCCUACCCCCUGGCUUAACCUGCCUUCUCGUUUUUUUUUCUGCAUUGUAUUUCUCGUGAAAAAAUUAUCUUCUCGUUCAGCGCCUAUUCGUUUGGGAAUGCGGGGAACAAAAGUGACAAGGUCGUAGGCAUUAUUUUAGACGCUCAUCGCUUACCAAAUAUGUGCAGUAUGCCGAGUGUUUUUCGAAAGGUCCGAAUAGAAAUCGUACUGCGGCCCUUACGAUCUUUCUUUCUUGUUGUAUAUGUUUAUUAUCGUAGCUUACUAUAUGAAUAUUGUCGUGCCGAUGACGAGUCGCUGAGCGAUUCAAACGAGUUUGCGAUACGUCAAACGUUCGCUCGUUUACUUAAACACAAAAUGGAAUGAUUUAUUUAUUGUGAUCGAGGCGAUUGUGCAUUUGUAAGGGCAGCAGUACUUGUGCAAUUGCGUUUCCACCAAGCGACCAUGUUUUCUUAUGAUUUUUAUUAUGAUGAUUAUUAUUGUUACGAUUUUUUAUGCAUGUAAGCGCACAACUGAAAAGCUGCGAGCAACAAUAAAGGAUUUCCUUUUGUUCACUUGGUUUCAUGUAAUUUUUAUUCAAUUUCUUUCCAUUGUGUUUUGUAUUGAUUAUUAUGUAUGCCGCCGUACACAAAGCACGCUUUCUUAUCCCCCCAUUGCCUGCAUGUGAUAUACAAUAUGUGCGACUAUGUCUAUAACUUCCUUUUCUUUUCAGAAGUUUUGUCACUAUAUAUUCUUUUAGGCGAUUGUAGCGAGAGCCUUGUGUCAGUUUGUCUUACACUUUUAUUGUUCAUCUUCUUUUUUUUCUGCUAAUUUUAGUUUGUAAGUUGGGCUUGCGGAAUCAGGUGGAAACGUGUCGAGUAUGAAUUUUAUUUAUUAUAUACUUUUGUUUCACUACGUUUUGUCCUUAGAUUAAAUAUUUGCGGUGCGUCUGAAGUCAUUAGAUGUAGCGACUACUUGCCAAAUGUUCAAUUGUUAAUUAACGUUCACAAACAAUUUAUCGCGAAUUCUAUGACAAUCAAGUGUGCUGGAUCUUGUUGUUGGCACGUCAACUUUGAGCCAAAUGGCGAGAUCAACUUUGAAUGCUUUGUUUCGACGGUACUUUGAAUGUGAGCUCGAAACACGUUGAAGUCUCUGUCGUCAUUAAAAUCCCGAAACAGGUGUUUGUAUUUCAUGACUUGCGACGUGUCGAAGCACAACAAGCUCUUUUCAAAAGCUUGAAGGAGCAUUGAAAGUUUAGUUCUCGAGUUUGACCGAAAGUUGACGCCCGAACAAGGCCCAAGUAACGCAUCACAAUUGUAAAUUAUAAUUGAAAGUUUCUGUCGAAAUCAGUAAUGAAAAUAAGGGAGAAUGUACUUUAAUAUAGGCGUGUUGAAUUAGACCAAAAUCCAAUGAAAACUCAAGCGGAAAUCGGAUUCUAGUGGCUUUGGACGCGUAUGUGAACGAGCGAGAGAGGUCCGUGUCCCGAGUUCUCUCGCAGCGGGCGAAAAAAUGUACGAAAGCGCGCGCCCGCAAGGCUAAAGCGACGAAAUACUCGGCAACCGAACUUUACUCAGACGAAAACGAACGGAAAGAAAUUCGCGCAGCCGCUUUCUUUGGCAAGCGAAAGGACAGACACGUGAAUCAUUAUGAAAUUACCUAUCACUACCACUAUUACGUAACUAUGAUACUACUACUGCUACUACUACUAUGAGUACUACAACUACUACCGCUACUAUUACUAAACCAGAAAAAAAACUUAUUACUACUACUAUUAAUUAUAGGUAUUUAUAUAUUUACAAUUGCGUGGUGUGGAGUGGAACAUUGUGAUAUAAUAGAUUGGUGCUAACACCUUAUUGAAAUUGAAGAUACAUUUAAAUUAACGAAUAGAUAUGAGAAUUUGAAGAGGAAACGAAAUGGAAUUUGAAAAACGUGCAAUAUCGCGUGGGAAGAAGGUUCUCAUGCAAGCGGGAUGGAAGCAAAGACACACGGACACACGUACAGGCACAACACGGACACGCGGUGAAAGAGAUGAGGCAGUUGGGACAGUCGAGGAGAACAGCUUGAUUUUCACUUUCUUUCCCCGAUUUGGCUUUUGGCAAUCGAACUGCCGCGAUUAUCCGGUUUAACGAUCAUUGUUCUGUCGUCGUCGAAACGCAAUUAUACACGCUGUGACUGCUAUGCCAAACUUUGUGUAGUUGGAGAUGUCAGGCCGCGAGAGAAAGAGACCGUUUCAGUUGUCAAGAGAUAAAGGCAGAGUGAUAUAUACGAUAUAUUAUUAUAACGGAGUAGGUGCGAAUUUAUUAUUUUAUAAUGAACUAAUUCUGUAUUUUACUGUUGAUUAACCUGCAAAAUGUUUUUUUCUUGUAAAAUAAAAUUUAUAUUGAAAAACCAGCGCUCUUUCAUUCUGUCCGAGCAGCUUUAACCAAGCUCAACGCAUAAUAUCAUUCUACUUUGCAAUUACGCGCCAGCGAGAGCAUUUCUUUGCCAAGUGCGAGUCGGAGCGGCGAGGGCGACCGCUCGGUAAACAAAUGAAUAAAAUAGCGAAAAUUAGAGCGGACGAGAGCUGAACUCGCGGGGAAGCUUGAGCUCAAGCUCUCUAAACGGCUAAAGCGAGCGGACUUCAACUUUAGCCUGCGAAUGUUGUACAAUGCGCUAGCUCUCAAAUCACUUUGAAUUUGCGUUGAGAUUGAGGCUUACGAAAAAGCAAACCUCGGAGUCCUACCGGAUGCAGAGCGCAAUUGAACUCCGACUUUUUAUCUUUUGGUGCUCUGCUUUAUCGCUUCGUUGUUUUACGGCCUCGCGAUCGGGUCGCACAGUCCGAGAAAUCUUGACCAGUGCAAGACCGAAUGGGUCUUGCUUUUCUUUUUAUCAAAAACAGUAUUGUCGAUCUUCCAUAUUUUCAAUGUUUCUCGAAAUGUAAAGAUCCUAAUGGGCGAUAGCGUCUCAGUUCGGACCGAGUGGCAAUUCGAUGCAACGUUUCGUCACCUCGCGUGUACAUAUACCGUAAUUGUAAUAAAAUAAGACGAUUUGUCUUUUUCAUUGUUCGCAAUGAGCGCAAGUCAUUCAAUGACCACGGAUGAAUUUUAUCGUGCGAUUCUCGCGCAAGCUCAAUGAGCUCCCAUCGAUGUUGGCCAAUUCGAAUUCGCGACAUCGAGGAUGAAACGUAUUGCGACCGGGAAUGGAGGAUUGCAACUUUUUUUUCCAUUUCUCGGCAGAAUCAGACUGAUGUUGUAAUUAAUAAAGCAAACGUGGCGCGGCAAGCGAAAGGACGGUGGGCCGAGGAAUGCAGUGCAAACGAAACGGACGAAAGCAGAAGGCAGAAGGGAGGUAAAAGGGUGUGCGAGACGAUUAACUGGUGACCUCUUUUGUCCUAAUUCCAAUUCGCACUGUUUAGUCCUGGCGAUCGUCUGUUUUUUCCUCCUUCUUUAGUUCUUCACGAGCUACUACCCUUUCGUCACGGGCUCUUCUACGGAUACAAACACUUACGCACACGCACACACACGCACGGACGUGCACGCGAAAGUAACGAGUUGGACGCUGCAAGCUAUACGAUCUCUGGUUGCAGUCGCGAUAGGCGUAAAAACCUAACUGGAAUGAUUCGCCACUUGUGUGUCUCGGAUUCCAGUCUUCUUCGAUACCAAAUAUCACCUACACUUGUGUGGCUUCCCGUUCCAGUUAAGUUAUCGAAAUAUCCGCCACGCGGUGAGUCCUCGGAUAUCGGCAAGAGAUUUUACGAAACUCCUCUGCUCUGCCAACGGAAAAAUCUGCCGAUGCAGUGUUCAUUUCAGCUGACAGCGUUCAAAUUGAGAUCUAUAAUUACAUGUUAAAUUUCGUUGGUCGCCGCGCAAAACGAAGACAUUUACGAGCGGAUCAGGUACCAAAGACACGUGUAAAAAUAAAACAGAAGGGCGUGGUACGGUAUAAAGAUGAAUGAUCGAGAAACAAAUCGAUUGUCGUUAACAGCGCAGUGUUCGUCUUUCCAUCAGCGUCGUCACCUCGACUCUUUGACAAAGGGCUCUUGAUUUUGCAAGCAGUCGACAUUGAAAGUACAUGUACAUAAAAAUGAGAGAGUGAGAGAGAGAGAGAGAGAGAGAGAGAGAGAGAGAGAGAGAGAGAGAGAGAGAGUGAAGACCCGCGUGCGCCUCCACAAGCACAAAUUUCCGCAGAUUAUCGAGCAAUUCACACGUAUAUAUUUUAACAGCAAGCUAUAGUUGGACCUAAUCAACAAAUGAAGAUUUUUGAAUUGUCUUGGCUUUUAUAUUUUUAAUGCGAAUUUUCUACGCAAAUCAUCCUCCAUAUGAAGAUUUUGAAAUUUGUCCGAGCAUGCGAUUCUCAAAUUUUACUAUAAAGAUGUAACAGUGGCUGACGAGUUGAAAAAUUGGCGGAUAU